GUCAGCUCGUGUCGUGAGAUGUUGGGUUAAGUCCCGCAACGAGCGCAACCCUUGAUCUUAGUUGCCAGCACUUCGGGUGGGCACUCUAAGGUGACUGCCGGUGACAAACCGGAGGAAGGUGGGGAUGACGUCAAAUCAUCAUGCCCCUUAUGACCUGGGCUACACACGUACUACAAUGGCCGGUACAACGGGCUGCGAAGCCGCGAGGCGGAGCCAAUCCUAGAAAGCCGGUCUCAGUUCGGAUUGCAGGCUGCAACUCGCCUGCAUGAAGUCGGAAUUGCUAGUAAUCGCGGAUCAGCAUGCCGCGGU
This 309-nucleotide ribosomal RNA is filed under the name Paenibacillus sp. Expt2_481A2_P24WS_E09. RNAcentral's name for it is "bacterial SSU rRNA". It matches the Rfam family "Bacterial small subunit ribosomal RNA", at positions 1054 to 1363 of the family's 1533-position model. Lineage: Bacteria; Bacillati; Bacillota; Bacilli; Caryophanales; Paenibacillaceae. The record is from RNAcentral.